UCCGCCGGCCGGCCGCGGAGGCCCAGCUGUCAGCACCACCUUUCACCUGAGCCCACUGCCUCCUGAACCAGCUGGAGGAUGUGUGUAGGCAGUUUCUGAUGACAUUCAGGGAGCCGAGGGACCACGAGCUCUGCCUCCCACGAAGUGCUCAGUGGCCAGGUGGCAACAAAAGAUGGAGCUGAGAAGAAAAAGUGGUGGUAACAGGGCUCUGCGAUGGCUUUCAUGUACACUGCUUCACCUCAGAGCCUCCUGAGCUGUCACCUGAGGUAAGGGAUAGUGAACACCGAGCUCAACUUAGUGGCCAGAGGUACUUUUGAUAGUUCAAGGCUGCCCAUGCUUGGCCCAGCUGUGCCCUUUAUGGGCACAGCCAGAGGUUCCUCACAUUGCUGGGUCACAGCCCAGCAGUGAAGGCACAGAGCAGACAGCUACAAAACCACCCUAGUGAGGCACGUCUGUCUCAUUUCUUUGAAUUUGGACAAAUUUCAGAAUGACUCAAUAAAAGUUACAAUUCACAG
This is a non-coding RNA of Sturnus vulgaris (Common starling), 515 nucleotides long. The record is from RefSeq and is a predicted model, not a curated record. NCBI's taxonomy places the organism in Eukaryota, Metazoa, Chordata, Aves, Passeriformes, Sturnidae.